This 563-nucleotide ribosomal RNA is filed under the name uncultured bacterium. RNAcentral describes it as "bacterial SSU rRNA". It matches the Rfam family "Bacterial small subunit ribosomal RNA", at positions 55 to 631 of the family's 1533-position model. The record is from RNAcentral.
UGGCAAGUCGAACGAGCGAGAGAGAGCUUGCUUUCUCGAGCGAGUGGCGAACGGGUGAGUAACGCGUGAGGAACCUGCCUCAAAGAGGGGGACAACAGUUGGAAACGACUGCUAAUACCGCAUAAGCCCACGGUGCCGCAUGGCACAGAGGGAAAAGGAGCAAUCCGCUUUGAGAUGGCCUCGCGUCCGAUUAGCUAGUUGGUGAGGUAACGGCCCACCAAGGCGACGAUCGGUAGCCGGACUGAGAGGUUGAACGGCCACAUUGGGACUGAGACACGGCCCAGACUCCUACGGGAGGCAGCAGUGGGGAAUAUUGUACAAUGGGGGAAACCCUGAUGCAGCGACGCCGCGUGGAGGAAGAAGGUCUUCGGAUUGUAAACUCCUGUUGUUGGGGAAGAUAAUGACGGUACCCAACAAGGAAGUGACGGCUAACUACGUGCCAGCAGCCGCGGUAAAACGUAGGUCACAAGCGUUGUCCGGAAUUACUGGGUGUAAAGGGAGCGCAGGCGGGAAGACAAGUUGGAAGUGAAAUCUAUGGGCUCAACCCAUAAACUGCUUUCAAA